GCCGUAUUAGCUUAGUUGGUGGAGCGGCGGACUGUUAAUCCGCAGGUCGCAGGUUCGAGUCCUGCAUACGGCGC
Molecule: transfer RNA, 74 nt
Filed under: Methanobacteriota archaeon
Lineage: Archaea; Methanobacteriati; Methanobacteriota
Description: Euryarchaeota archaeon tRNA-Asn(gtt)
Rfam family: tRNA
About the family: Transfer RNA (tRNA) molecules are approximately 80 nucleotides in length.
Source: RNAcentral